CCCCUCUCAGGGUCGCACCUGGAGAGUUUCCAGUCCUCUACCAGUCUCGGCUAUGGGAGGGAGAGUCCAGCAGAAGCAUUCCCAUUCCAUUCCUAGCUUGGGCAGUGGCUAGCUAUGGAAGGCGAUCGGCUACAAGU
This 137-nucleotide small nucleolar RNA is filed under the name Ornithorhynchus anatinus (platypus). Lineage: Eukaryota; Metazoa; Chordata; Mammalia; Monotremata; Ornithorhynchidae. The record is from RNAcentral.